This 463-nucleotide ribosomal RNA is filed under the name uncultured Glomus. RNAcentral's name for it is "SSU rRNA". It matches the Rfam family "Eukaryotic small subunit ribosomal RNA", at positions 569 to 1040 of the family's 1831-position model. Lineage: Eukaryota; Fungi; Glomeromycota; Glomeromycetes; Glomerales; Glomeraceae. The record is from RNAcentral.
AGCAGCCGCGGUAAUUCCAGCUCCAAUAGCGUAUAUUAAAGUUGUUGCAGUUAAAAGCUCGUAGUUGAACUUCGGGAUCAGUACGCUGGUCAUGCCUUUGGUAUGCACUGGUGUCACUGGUUUCUCCCUUCUGAAGAACCGUGAUGUCAUUAAUUUGGUGUCGCGGGGAAUCAGGACUGUUACUUUGAAAAAUUAGAGUGUUUAAAGCAGGCUCACGCUUGAAUACAUUAGCAUGGAAUAAUGAAAUAGGACGUUUGACCCUAUUUUGUGGUUUCUAGGAUCGACGUAAUGAUUAAUAGGGAUAGUUGGGGCAUUAGUAUUCAAUUGUCAGAGGUGAAAUUCUUGGAUUUAUUGAAGACUAACUACUGCGAAAGCAAUUUGCCAAGGAUGUUUUCAUUAACCAAGAACGAAAGUUAGGGAUCGAAGACGAUCAGAUACCGUCGUAGUCUUAACCAUAAACUAU